CAGUGGGCCUCCGUGUAACCAAGACAGAACCUGUAGGGGUGUAUGUGUCGUUUUCAUAGCUAGUUCUCAAUGAAUUAGUAGCAUGGUGACUUUGUAGCUCUCAGCAGUUGCAAAUGUGGCGUCAAGGUCAAAAUCUUCUGCGGCGAGCCUCACUACCAUACCAUAGAUGCGGAAUCAGACAAAUCAUAACUGGUUCGACAUCAUCAUCGAGCCCAAGUGUGUCGAUAUGGAGGCGCAAGAAAGAAAUGGGGAAAGAAGGUUUAAUGGUCGCUAAGGAGCUUAAGCGCUUACAGUCUAACGCGGUUAGGUUUGAGAGAUUUAUGAAGUCACAUGUUUCUCGUCUACUUAAAUCUGACCUCCUUGCUGUUCUUGCUGAGUUCCAAAGACAAAAUCUCGUUUACCUCUCCAUCACGUUGUACGAGGCUGUGCGCAAAGAAAUAUGGUAUCGGCCAGACAUGUUCUUUUACAGGGAUAUGCUUUUCAUGCUUGCAAGAAACAAAAAGGUAGAUGAAACAAAGAAGGUAUGGGAAGAUUUGAAGAAAGAAGGGGUGCUUUUUGAUCAGCACACAUUUGGCGAUCUUGUCAGGGCUUAUCUAGAUGGUGGAUUGCCUGCAGAGGCAAUGCACAUAUAUGAUGAAAUGAGGCGCUCUCCUGAUCCUCUUUUGUCUUUACCUUAUCGUGUUAUAUUGAAGGGGCUACUUCCUUACCCCGAAUUGAGAGAAAAAGUGAAGGAUGAUUUUCUGGAACUGUUCCCAGAUAUUGUAGUCUAUGAUCCACCUGAAGAUCUAUUUGAUGAGGAAGAAUGGAGAAAGGAGAGCGAUGAUGAUUAGAAUAUGCUGUUGACUUGCAUUUUCUCAAUGGCAUUUAAAUUUUUCUCUGGUCAACAAGAUAGUGGAAUGGUAAAUAGGGAGUGCUUUGGCAGCAGAUCAUGAAAUCUUUUAAGUUGUUGAACAAAUGGUUGCUUCUGAUUUUGAGAAUUUGAAAUGUGACCCAGAAAAACUGUGGUAAAUUGGAAGUUUGUAAGCGGGUAUGAAGCUUACCUAUAAUAUCUAAACUGAAGGAAUCCAUAAACUUCAAAACCUGGAUCUGCCUUUGGUUUGAAGUGAUACAGAUAUUUGCUAAGAUGCUACGAUCUGAAUGUUCCUGCUGUACUACCAUAAUGAAGAGACAAUCAUGUUUUUGUAUGAGCCAGAUUGCAAAGCAUGUUUGGUCCUUCUUUGGUCAAAGUUGUGGCAUUGUAAACAUGAGGCAAUUACUCAUAUCUUGGUGGCUAUCUAAGGCUAAUAUGAUAUCCAUGCAGUGCUAUUACAAUGCCUCCCAACAGUUAUAUGCUGGGAGAUAUGGAAAAAUAGAUGGUAUGACAAUAUUUGCAUGUCUGGCAGAGUUAUUGUUCAGCAGGUCUGUAAAAACAUGACCAUUCUAUUAAAUAGCCAAUUUGCCACAGUCCAAUCGCCUUUAUCCUGGAAUUUGAUGUGUAAUGCAGUGGAGAAGGCAAAACAAACAACCAGUAGUCACCUGGUUAAAUGGAAUAAGCCUGCGUUUGGUUGGCUAAAACUAGACAUUGAUGGCUGUUGUACAGGGGAUAGGGGAAGCUCUGGAGGAUGUUGUAUCAUUAGAGGCAACCUUGGCUGCCUUGUCCUGGCCUACGCUGAAUACUAUGGCCAAUUCAGUAACAAAAUGGCCAAGGCCAAAGCUCUUUUACAGGGUAUGAAACUGUGUGUUAGCAUAAGUUCCUUUUAUGUGAUAGUGGAAUCUGAUCCCCAGCUGAUUAUUAACAUGAUUAACAACAAAUCCAACAUGUCAUUGAUCAGAUUGUUUACCUCUCAAGUAGUGUAAUUUUGUUUUUGUCCACACAUACCGAGAGGGCAGUAUGGCUGCUGAUUAACUAGCUAAUAUGGGGAAAGAUUGAGAGAUCAAGUUACAUUUGAUGAAGCUAUAUCUCUGCCAGAAAUAGUGAAAUCAACAGUGAAACUUGAUCGAGAUGGUACCCCAAACUUCAGAAUAAAACCAAGGAAGAAUCAUUUUGUUAUAAUGAUGCUAACACUAGAUACAGUGGUAGUACUGAAUCUUGUAUAGUUUUGUUAACUGUGUGUAUGGCAUCCUUUUGUGAAGCUUAUAGUAGUCAAAAUGUGAUGGAGGUAACCUCGAUCAAGUUAGGCAAACAUUUGUAAUCAGAUGUAUAUAAAAAUGAAUUCUAUCAUU
This is an RNA transcript of Lycium barbarum (goji berry), 2202 nucleotides long. It is a transcript of the gene named pentatricopeptide repeat-containing protein At1g62350, with no coding region annotated. Lineage: Eukaryota; Viridiplantae; Streptophyta; Magnoliopsida; Solanales; Solanaceae. The record is from RefSeq and is a predicted model, not a curated record. The transcript is spliced from 3 exons.